AUACGUAGGUGACAAGCGUUAUCCGGAUUUACUGGGUGUAAAGGGCGUGUAGGCGGAGAUGCAAGUCAGGAGUGAAAUCUAGGGGCUCAACCCCUAAACUGCUUUUGAAACUGUAUCCCUUGAGUAUCGGAGAGGCAGGCGGAAUUCCUAGUGUAGCGGUGAAAUGCGUAGAUAUUAGGAGGAACACCAGUGGCGAAGGCGGCCUGCUGGACGACAACUGACGCUGAGGCGCGAAAGCGUGGGGAGCAGACAGGAUUAGAUACCCUGGUAGUCCACGCUGUAAACGAUGAAUACUAGGUGUGGGGGGACUGACCCCCUCCGUGCCGCAGUUAACACAAUAAGUAUUCCACCUGGGGAGUACGAUCGCAAGAUUGAAACACAAAUGAAUUGACGGGG
This 396-nucleotide ribosomal RNA is filed under the name uncultured bacterium. Its description in RNAcentral is "partial 16S ribosomal RNA". It matches the Rfam family "Bacterial small subunit ribosomal RNA", at positions 523 to 918 of the family's 1533-position model. The record is from RNAcentral.